CCAAAUCUUUCUUGUGUUUAUUAAUUUGAUUAUGUUGUUGUAACAAUUUUGUAGCAUAGUAUAUGGACUUCAGAUUAAGGCCUAUAGAUCACCUAAAUAACAUACAGAUUUAAAGUAAUUGAUGGUCAAACUAGUUGGUGAUUCUGAUGUAGUUAGGUUGACCUGAUGUAUGAUAUUUGUACCCUGAUAUGUAGGCUUCAAGCUUGAACCAUUAGAACACCAUAACAUCAGACAGAACUCGAUUAAAUUAAGGCACAAAGUAGCUAUCAAGCACUGCUUGGGUUUUUGGAUAACCUAGAAAACCCAGGAAGGGCCUGACAGCCACUUUGAGCCCUUAUAUCUUGCUUGUAUGUUGUAAUUUGACCCUGUUAGUUG
RNAcentral lists this long non-coding RNA (375 nucleotides) under Panax ginseng (ginseng). RNAcentral describes it as "long non-coding RNA (PGIN_LNC001664)". Lineage: Eukaryota; Viridiplantae; Streptophyta; Magnoliopsida; Apiales; Araliaceae. The record is from RNAcentral.